AGUGCUUGUCGGGAAGGCUCUGGC
This 24-nucleotide non-coding RNA is filed under the name Cricetulus griseus (Chinese hamster). Lineage: Eukaryota; Metazoa; Chordata; Mammalia; Rodentia; Cricetidae. The record is from RNAcentral.